GCUCAUAACAUGUCAAGUCGAACGGCAGCGCGGGGCAACCUGGCGGCGAGUGGCGAACGGGUGAGUAAUAUAUCGGAACGUACCCUGGAGUGGGGGAUAACGUAGCGAAAGUUACGCUAAUACCGCAUACGAUCUAAGGAUGAAAGUGGGGGAUUCGCAAGGACCUCAUGCUCCUGGAGCGGCCGAUAUCUGAUUAGCUAGUUGGUAGGGUAAAAGCCUACCAAGGCAUCGAUCAGUAGCUGGUCUGAGAGGACGACCAGCCACACUGGAACUGAGACACGGUCCAGACUCCUACGGGAGGCAGCAGUGGGGAAUUUUGGACAAUGGGCGCAAGCCUGAUCCAGCAAUGCCGCGUGAGUGAAGAAGGCCUUCAGGUUGUAAAGCUCUUUUGUCAGGGAAGAAACGGUGAUCUCUAAUAUAGAUUGCUAAUGACGGUACCUGAAGAAUAAGCACCGGCUAACUACGUGCCAGCAGCCGCGGUAAUACGUAGGGUGCAAGCGUUAAUCGGAAUUACUGGGCGUAAAGCGUGCGCAGGCGGUUUUGUAAGACUGUCGUGAAAUCCCCGGACUCAACCUGGGAAUGGCGAUGGUGACUGCAAGGCUAGAGUUUGGCAGAGGGGGGUAGAAUUCCACGUGUAGCAGUGAAAUGCGUAGAUAUGUGGAGGAACACCGUGGCGAAGGCAGCCCCCUGGGUCAAAACUGACGCUCAUGCACGAAAGCGUGGGGAGCAAACAGGAUUAGAUACCCUGGUAGUCCACGCCCUAACGAUGUCUACUAGUUGUCGGGUUUUAAUUAACUUGGUACGCAGCUAACGCGUGAAGUAGACCGCCUGGGGAGUACGGCGCAGAUUAAACUCAAGGAUUGACGGGACCCGCACAGCGUGG
Molecule: ribosomal RNA, 883 nt
Filed under: uncultured beta proteobacterium
Lineage: Bacteria; Pseudomonadati; Pseudomonadota; Betaproteobacteria
Description: bacterial SSU rRNA
Rfam family: Bacterial small subunit ribosomal RNA
Source: RNAcentral